Molecule: ribosomal RNA, 836 nt
Filed under: uncultured bacterium
Lineage: Bacteria
Description: bacterial SSU rRNA
Rfam family: Bacterial small subunit ribosomal RNA
Source: RNAcentral
GAAUUCGCCCUUAGAGUUUGAUCCUGGCUCAGGACGAACGCUGGCGGCGUGCUUAACACAUGCAAGUCGAACGAGGAUCGGAAGGGAGCUUGCUCCCGUCUGAUUCGAGUGGCGGACGGGUGAGUAACGCGUGAACAAUCUGUCUCAUACAGGGGGAUAACGCAUCGAAAGAUGUGCUAAUACCGCGUAGGACCACGCUGGGGCAUCCCAGAGAGGUGAAAGGAGCAAUCCGGUAUGAGGUGAGUUCGCGUCUGAUUAGAUAGUUGGUGAGGUAAAGGCUCACCAAGUCAACGAUCAGUAGCCGACCUGAGAGGGUGACCGGCCACAUUGGGACUGAGACACGGCCCAGACUCCUACGGGAGGCAGCAGUGGGGAAUAUUGGGCAAUGGGCGAAAGCCUGACCCAGCAACGCCGCGUGAAGGAAGAAGGUUUUCGGAUCGUAAACUUCUGUCCUAUAUGAAGAUAAUGACGGUAGUAUAGGAGGAAGCCCCGGCUAACUACGUGCCAGCAGCCGCGGUAAUACGUAGGGGGCGAGCGUUGUCCGGAAUGAUUGGGCGUAAAGGGCGCGUAGGCGGCCGGAUAAGUCUGGAGUGAAAGUCCUGUUUUCAAGAUGGGAAUUGCUUUGGAUACUGUCAGGCUUGAGUGCAGGAGAGGUUAUCGGAAUUCCCGGUGUAGCGGUGAAAUGCGUAGAGAUCGGGAGGAACACCAGUGGCGAAGGCGGGUAACUGGACUGCAACUGACGCUGAGGCGCGAAAGUGUGGGGAGCAAACAGGAUUAGAUACCCUGGUAGUCCACACUGUAAACGAUGAAUGCUAAGUGUAAGAGGUAUCGACCCC